Molecule: ribosomal RNA, 572 nt
Filed under: uncultured fungus
Lineage: Eukaryota; Fungi
Description: eukaryotic LSU rRNA
Rfam family: 5.8S ribosomal RNA (bases 210-363)
Source: RNAcentral
GUCGUAACAAGGUCUCCGUAGGUGAACCUGCGGAGGGAUCAUUACACAAAUAUGAAGACGGGCUGGAACCUCUCGGGGUUACAGCCUUGCUGAAUUAUUCACCCUUGUCUUUUGCGUACUUCUUGUUUCCUUGGUGGGUUCGCCCACCACUAGGACAAACAUAAACCUUUUGUAAUUGCAAUCAGCGUCAGUAACAAAUUAAUAAUUACAACUUUCAACAACGGAUCUCUUGGUUCUGGCAUCGAUGAAGAACGCAGCGAAAUGCGAUAAGUAGUGUGAAUUGCAGAAUUCAGUGAAUCAUCGAAUCUUUGAACGCACAUUGCGCCCUUUGGUAUUCCAAAGGGCAUGCCUGUUCGAGCGUCAUUUGUACCCUCAAGCUUUGCUUGGUGUUGGGCGUCUUGUCUCUAGCUUUGCUGGAGACUCGCCUUAAGGUAAUUGGCAGCCGGCCUACUGGUUUCGGAGCGCAGCACAAGUCGCACUCUCUAUCAGCAAAGGUCUAGCAUCCAUUAAGCCUUUUUUUCAACUUUUGACCUCGGAUCAGGUAGGGAUACCCGCUGAACUUAAGCAUAUCA